GUAACCCGACUCCUUCAUCAUCGGGUGAUGUAUUUGAUUUGGUAUGUUAAGUUGUAAAAUCUUAGAUUCUCCGCAGUAAUAAUAGUAGAUGUAUCAGUUGUAAAUUUUCUGUAGUUUCCGGUCUCGCCUAAUUGUUCCGGCAGACCGAUUAAAUUAUGUAAAAUGUAGCAUUUAAGAUAAUUUGUGGCUUUAAUAAUAUUAAUUUGAGAUGAGAUUUGUUUAAA
Molecule: long non-coding RNA, 224 nt
Filed under: Ricinus communis (castor bean)
Lineage: Eukaryota; Viridiplantae; Streptophyta; Magnoliopsida; Malpighiales; Euphorbiaceae
Description: long non-coding RNA (RCOM_LNC003043)
Source: RNAcentral